Hypanus sabinus (Atlantic stingray) is the source of this 3071-nucleotide RNA transcript. It is a transcript of the gene named plectin-like, with no coding region annotated. The transcript has 2 exons. The record is from RefSeq and is a predicted model, not a curated record. Lineage: Eukaryota; Metazoa; Chordata; Chondrichthyes; Myliobatiformes; Dasyatidae.
UAGUUUAUAAUAUUUUCGCUUAGUAAUUCAUUCAAUAGUAUUUUCUAGUUAGAAUUAGAAGUGUUUAAAGUGUAUUCAUUGCAUGUAAAAUAUAUCGGCAUGCGAUGACGUCACAUCCGGUUUCGCCGCGUCUUGUGGGAAAACACCGGUUUGAAAUUAGCGCGAGGGUGGGGGCUUUCCACGAGGCUCACCUGAGCACAAGCAGUUUGCAGGCAUGAGAAAUCACAGUGAGAGCAACGCUGUAAGUUAAUAGAUAAUCGAUAUAUUGAACUAAGAUGUUAAUGCUGAUCCUGUUAGAGGUAACGAUGGUAGAUAAUGUUUAUGCUUUCGUUAGUUAAAGAGUCGCGGAUAGUUUGCAUGGAAGUGUAUUUAAAGUAGUCAAUGGAGCAGGUAAACUCUCCCUGUAUACUGCACCUUAGUGUAAUGUAGUUAUAGUCACCUUUGCAAGUAUUUACACUUGAAAUGUGAUAUUAAGGAAGGAACAAAUACUGUAUCAAUCUUGUAUUGUUUUAUCAACAGUUUUCACCAUAUGUUAAUGUGAAGAGUGAACAGUAAAUGGUUAAUCUUACUGCGAUCUGGUUCUUAUUAACUGUGGUUUAUCCGGACGUUAAAUUCGGCGUUUCGUUACACCCGAAGUAGAACGUGACAGUGAAAAAGCGGCAUUAUCAGGUGUUUCAAGUGCUGCAAUGUCAGCUCAAUCCAGCAUCAAGUCGACGCCGCCCAGCGACAGGAGCAGUAAACCGACAUCAAGUAAGCCCACCCGGGCGUUAUCAGGUGUUCCAAGUGCUGCAAUGUCAGCUCGAUCCGGGAUCAAGUCGAUGGCGCCCAGCGACAAGGGCAGUAGAACGACAUCAAGUAAGUCCGCACAGGCAAGAGCCAAGGCAGAAGCCGCCAAGGUGCGACUGCAUUACGCCAAACAAGAAGCAGUUUUGAAAAUUAAACUGGCUGCCAGAGAAGCCGAAAGGGCCGCCAGAAAGGCAGAAGCCGCCAAGGUGCUACUGAGUUACGCCAGACAAGAAGCAGUUUUGAAAAUGAAACUGGCCACCAGAGAAGCCGAAAUCCAGAAAGAAAGGGCCGCCAGAGAAGCCGAAAGGGCCGCCAGACAAAGAGAAGAGGCUGCCAGAGAAGCCGAAAUCCAGAAAGAAAGGGCCGCCAGACAAAGAGAAGAGGCUGCCAGAGAAGCCGAAAUCCAGAAAGAAAGGGCCGCCAGAGAAGCCGAAAGGGCCGCCAGACAAAGAGAAGAGGCUGCCAGAGAAGCCGAAAUCCAAAGAGAACAGGCCGCCAGAGAAGCCGAAAUCCAGAAAGAAGAGGCCGCCAGAGAAGCCGAAACCCAGUUGGAAAUGGCAAAAAUAUCGACAGAGUUGCAAGUGCUGCAGCUAGAAAGAGAAGAAGAAGCAGCCAUGGCGGAAGCAAAGUACAUAGAAGAAGCUGAGGGGUCGCGUGAUUUGACCGAAGUAAGAUCUACUUUAGAAGGGACCAGACUGGAGCGCACAAGCGACUAUGUACAAUCUCAAAUAGACAGGCAGGCUCGUCUCCCCUCUCCAUACGUAUUCGAUAACUUCCCCAGCUACGAGGAACCUCAGAGAGUCACGAUUGCAUCACAUCCAUACGAGGAAGGAAAUUUACCCUCACGGCUCCGUGAUGAAGUCAAGAAUGAAAGAACCGACAACGCUCCUUCACCCCCACAACAGGACGGCGGGGAGGGAGAGGUUCACUCCAGGACAACAAUUGUCAGCUCGAACUGUACAGAAGUUUGCGGUCAAACUCAGUCAAGCCGUUCUUGUUCCGAGAUCUGCCUCACUGAGGUGUACCCUAAAGAAGCACAACAAGACAUUACCAAGCGUAAAGUAACCGACGAGACGCUAGGUCAGUCAGUUUUCAUUCAAACCGAGGAUGACAACAAACUUGCACAAUCAGCUCAAGAUACCAUUUCUUUAAAAACCAAAGACACCAAGGUCUUCAGAGAUGAAGCAAAUAAUGGGGUUGCCCCAUUGCCUUUCAGAGAACCACGCCAGCGCUCACCAGAUAACAAAGAGCAGGCAGUCAAACGGUUCACGUCCUUACGGAAAACCUGGAAAAGGAAACCUGAGAUACAGCAACGCACCCGAUUGGCCCACGAGGUACUGUGCACCCUAAUGGCACAGGUCACAGCCAUUAUAAACGCACAAUCAUUCCUACCUGUGUCUUCUGACCCAGAAAACCCCUUUAUACUUUCGCCAUCAACGCUCCUUACGCAGAAGGCAGGAGCACCUCCUCCACCAGGAGACUUCUCAGACAAGGAUUUGUACACAAAGCAAUGGAGACAAGUCCAGGCUCUGGCAAAUCAGUUUUGGUCCCGCUGGAGACAAAAAUAUCUACCUUCGUUGCAACAGAGACAAAAGUGGACAGAACCCCGAAGGAAUCUUCAAGUUGAAGACUUAGUCCUGCUCAGGGACAAGCAGAUCACCCGCAACAGCUGGCCAAUGGCCAGAAUCACUGCUACAUUCCCUAGCGAGGAUGGACAUGUCAGGAAGAUCGAAUUGAAGACUACCGACCAAGGCGAUGUGAAAAUUUACCAAAGGCCAGUUACAGAAGUUAUUCUACUUCUACCCAAUGACUGAUUAAGAGACUAAGUUUUGUACUCUGCUCAUUGUGACCUUACGAAGGUCAAGCGGGGAGUGUGCUGUCUUUACGACAGUUAUUUAGUUUAUAAUAUUUUCGCUUAGUAAUUCAUUCAAUAGUAUUUUCUAGUUAGAAUUAGAAGUGUUUAAAGUGUAUUCAUUGCAUGUAAAAUAUAUCGGCAUGCGAUGACGUCACAUCCGGUUUCGCCGCGUCUUGUGGGAAAACACCGGUUUGAAAUUAGCGCGAGGGUGGGGGCUUUCCACGAGGCUCACCUGAGCACAAGCAGUUUGCAGGCAUGAGAAAUCACAGUGAGAGCAACGCUUUUUCACCAUAUGUUAAUGUGAAGAGUGAACAGUAAAUGGUUAAUCUUACUGCGAUCUGGUUCUUAUUAACUGUGGUUUAUCCGGACGUUAAAUUCGGCGUUUCGUUACACCCGAAGUAGAACGUGACAGGUUCCAGAUAUUGAAUUU